RNAcentral lists this ribosomal RNA (253 nucleotides) under uncultured bacterium. RNAcentral's name for it is "partial 16S ribosomal RNA". It matches the Rfam family "Bacterial small subunit ribosomal RNA", at positions 524 to 776 of the family's 1533-position model. The record is from RNAcentral.
GACGGAGGAUGCAAGCGUUAUCCGGAAUUAUUGGGCGUAAAGGGUGCGUAGGUGGUCAGACAAGUCCCAUGUCAAAGCAUGGUGCUUAACGCCAUAAAGGCGCGGGAAACUGUCUGACUAGAGUACAGCAGGGGCAGGAGGAAUUCCCGGUGUAGCGGUGAAAUGCGUAGAUAUCGGGAAGAACACCAGUGGCGCAAGCGUUCUGCUUGGCUGUAACUGACACUGAGGCACGAAAGCUAGGGGAGCGAAAGGG